RNAcentral lists this long non-coding RNA (14760 nucleotides) under Prunus persica (peach). RNAcentral describes it as "long non-coding RNA (PPER_LNC003357)". Lineage: Eukaryota; Viridiplantae; Streptophyta; Magnoliopsida; Rosales; Rosaceae. The record is from RNAcentral.
CCAUUUCAGAACGAACUUCAUCCGAACUUGAAUUAUCCGAUUUCAAGGACCAAUCGAUAUCGGAUUGAGUCCAAAACUUGGGGAACAUCAUAAUAUUGUGGGAGGAGUCAUUUGGUGGGUUUUGAGUGAAAUCCAAUCUCUAGAUCUAUACAAUACACCAACCACCCCAUUUCAUAAUGAACUUCGUACGAACCUGAAUUGUCCGAUUUCAAGGACCAAUCGACAUCGGAUUGAGUCCAAAACUUGGGGAACAUCAUAAUAUUGUGGGAGGAGUCAUUUGGUGGGUUUUUAGUGAAAUCCAAUCUCUAGUACUGUACAAUACACCAACCACCCCAUUUCAGAACGAACUUCGUCCGAACCUGAAUUGUCCGAUUUCAAGGACCAAUCGACAUCGGAUUGCGUCCAAAACUUGGGGAACAUCAUAAUAUUGUGGGAGGAGUCAUUUGGUGGGUUUUGAGUGAAACCCAGUCUCUAGAACUAUACAAUACACCAACCACCCCAUUUCAAAACGAACUUCGUACGAACCUGAAUUGUCCGAUUUCAAGGACCAAUUGACAUCAGAUUGAGUCCAAAACUUGGGGAACAUCAUAAUAUUGUGGGAGGAGUCAGUUGGUGGAUUUUGAGCGAAAUCCAAUCUCUAGAACUAUACAAUACACCUACCACCCCAUUUUAGAACGAACUUCGUACGAACCUGAAUUGUCCGAUUUCAAGGACCAAUCGACAUCGGAUUGAGUCCAAAACAUGGGGAACAUCAUAAUAUUGUGGGAGGAGUCAUUUGGUGGGUUUUGAGUGAAAUCCAAUCUCUAGAACUAUACAAUACACCAACCACCCCAUUUGUGAACGAACUUCGUACGAACCUGAAUUGUCCGAUUUCAAGGACCAAUCGACAUCGGAUUGAGUCCAAAACUUGGGGAACAUCAUAAUAUUGUGGGAGGAGUCAUUUGGUGGGUUUUGAGUGAAACCCAGUCUCUAGAACUAUACAAUACACCAACCACCCCAUUUCAAAACGAACUUCGUACGAACCUGAAUUGUCCGAUUUCAAGGACCAAUUGACAUCAGAUUGAGUCCAAAAAUUGGGGAACAUCAUAAUAUUGUGGGAGGAGUCAUUUGGUGGGUUUUGAGCGAAAUCCAAUCUCUAGAACUAUACAAUACACCUACCACCCCAUUUUAGAACGAACUUCGUACGAACCUGAAUUGUCCGAUUUCAAGGACCAAUCGACAUCGGAUUGAGUCCAAAACAUGGGGAACAUCAUAAUAUUGUGGGAGGAGUCAUUUGGUGGGUUUUGAGUGAAAUCCAAUCUCUAGAACUAUACAAUACACUAACCACCUCAUUUGUGAGUGAACUUCGUACGAACCUGAAUUGUCCGAUUUCAUGGACCAAUCGACAUCGGAUUGAGGCCAAAACUUGGGGAACAUCAUAAUAUUGUGGGAGGAGUCAUUUGGUGGGUUUUGAGUGAAAUCCAAUCUCUAGAACUAUACAAUAACCAAUCCAUUUCAGAACGAAGUUCAUCCGAACCUGAAUUGUCCGAUUUCAAGCACCAAUCGAUAUCGGAUUGAGUCCAAAACUUGGGGAACAUCAUAAAAUUGUGGGUGGAGUCAUUUGGUGGGUUUUGAGCGAAAUCCAAUCUCUAGAACUAUACAAUACACCUACCACCCCAUUUCAGAACGAACUUCGUACGAACCUGAAUUGUCCGAUUUCAAGGAUCAAUCGACAUCGGAUUGAGUCCAAAACCUGGGGAACAUCAUAAUACUGUGGGAGGAGUCAUUUGGUGGGUUUUGAGUGAAAUCCAAUCUCUAGAACUAUACAAUACACUAACCACCCCAUUUGUGAGUGAACUUCGUACGAACCUGAAUUGUCCGAUUUCAAGGACCAAUCGACAUCGGAUUGAGUCCAAAACUUGGGGAACAUCAUAAUAUUGUGGGAGGAGUCAUUUGGUGGGUUUUGAGUGAAAUCCAAUCUCUAGAACUAUACAAUAACCAAUCACCCCAUUUCAGAACGAAGUUCAUCCGAACCUGAAUUGUCCGAUUUCAAGGACCAAUCGCCAUCGGAUUGAGUCUAAAACUUGGGGAACAUCACAAUAUUGUGGGAGGAGUCAUUUGGUGGGUUUUGAGCGAAAUCCAAUCUCUAGAACUAUACAAUACACCAACCACCCCAUUUCAGAACGAACUUCGUACGAACCUGAAUUGUCCGAUUCAAGGACCAAUCUAUAUCAGAUUGAGUCCAAAACUUAGGGAACAUCGUAAUAUUAUGGGAGGAGUCAUUUGGUGGGUUUCGAGUGAAAUCCAAUCUCUAGAAGUAUACAAUACACCGACCACCCCAUUUAUGAACGAACUUCGUACGAACCUGAAUUGUCCGAUUUCAAGGACCAAUCUAUAUCGGAUUGAGUCCAAAACUUGGGGAACAUCGUAAUAUUAUGGGAGGAGUCAUUUGGUGGGUUUUGAGUGAAAUCCAAUCUCUAGAACUAUACAAUACACUAACCACCCCAUUUGUGAGUGAACUUCGUAAGAACCUGAAUUGUCCGAUUUCAAGGACCAAUCGAUAUCGGAUUGAGUCUAAAACUUGGGCAACAUAAUAAUAUUGUGGGAGGAGUCAUUUGGUGGGUUUUGAGGGAAAUCCAAUCUUUAGAACUAUACAAUACACCAACCACCCCAUUUCAGAACAAACUUCGUACGAACCUGAAUUGGCCUAUUUCAAGGACCAAUCGAUAUGGGAUUGAGUCCAAAACUUGGGGAACAUCAUAAAAUUGUGGGAGGAGUCAUUUGGUGGGUUUUGAGUGAAAUCCAAUCUCUAGAACUAUACAAUACACCAACCACCCCAUUUUAGAACGAACUUCGUACGAACCUGAAUUGGCCUAUUUCAAGGACCAAUCGAUAUCGGAUUGAGUCCAAAACUUGGGGAACAUCAUAAUGUUGUGGGAGGAGUCAUUUGGUGGGUUUUGAGUGAAAUCCAAUCUCUAGAACUAUAGAAUACACCAACCACCCCGUUUCAGAACGAACUUCGUACGAACCUGAAUUGUCCGAUUUCAAGGACCAAUCGAUAUCGGAUUGAGUCCAAAACUUGGGGAACAUCAUAAUAUUGUGGGAGGAGUAAUUUGGUGGGUUUUUAGUGAAAUACAAUCCCUAGAACUAUACAAUACACCAACCACUCCAUUUCAGAACGAACUUCGUACGAACCGAACUGUCAAAUUUUGUACCGAUCGAUAUCGGAUUGAGUCUAAAAAUUGGGGAACAUCAUAAUAUUGUGGGAGGAGUCAUUUGGUGGGUUUUGAGUGAAAUCCAAUCUCUAGAACUAUACAAUACACCAACCACCCCAUUUCAGAACGAACUUCAUACGAACCUGAAAUGUCCAAUUUCAAGGACCAAUCGAUAUUGAAUUGAGUCCAAAACUUGGGGAGCAUCAUAAUAUUGUGGGAGGAGUCAUUUGGUGGGUUUUGAUUGAAAUACCAUCCCUAGAACUAUACAAUACACCAACCACUCCAUUUCAGAACGAACUUCGUACGAACCUGAAUUGUCAAAUUUCGUGGACUGACCGAUAUCGAAUUGAGUCCAAAACUUGGGGAGCAUUGUAAUAUUGUGGGAGGAGUCAUUUAGUGGGUUUUGAGUGAAAUACAAUCCCUAGAACUAUACAAUACACCAACCACUCCAUUUAAGAACGAACUUCGUACGAACCUGAAUUGUCAAAUUUUGUGGACCGAUCGAUAUCGGAUUGAGUCCAAAACUUGGGGAACAUCAUAAUAUUGUGGGAGGAGGCAUUUGGUGGGUUUUGAGUGAAAUACAAUCCCUAGAACUAUACAAUACAUCAACCACUCCAUUUCCGAACGAACUUGGUACGAACCUGAAUUGUCAAAUUUCGUGGACCGAUCGAUAUCGGAUUGAGUCCAAAACUUGGGGAACAUCAUAAUAUUGUGGGAGGAGUCAUUUGGUGGGUUUUGAGUGAAAUCCAAUAUCUAGAACUAUACAAUACACCAACCACCCCAUUUCAGAACGAACUUCAUACGAACCUGAAAUGUCCAAUUUGUGGGAGGAGUCAUUUGGUGGGUUUUGAGUGAAAUCCAAUCUCUAGAACUAUACAAUACACCAACCACCCCAUUUCAGAACGAACUUCGAAUGAACUUGAAUUGCCCGAUUUCAUUGACCAAUCGAUAUCGGAUUGAGUCCAAAACUUGGGAAAGAACAUAACAUUGUGGGAGGAGGCAUCUGGUGGGUUUUGAGUGAAAUACAAUCCCUAGAACUAUACAAUACACUAAGCACUCCAUUUCAGAACGAACUUCGUACGAACCUGAAUUGUCCGAUUUCAAGGACCAAUCGAUAUAGGAUUGAGUCCAAAACUUGGGGAACAUCAUAAAAUUGUGGGAGGAGUCAUUUGGUGGGUUUUGAGUGAAAUCCAAUCUCUAGAACUAUACAAUACACCAACCACCCCAUUUCAGAACGAACUUCGUACGAACCUGAAUUGUCCGAUUUCAAGGACCAAUCGAUAUUGGAUUGAGUCCAAAACUUGGGGAACAUCAUAAUAUUGUCGGAGGAGUCAUUUGGUGGGUUUUGAGUGAAAUACAAUGUUGAGCCUAUUCUUAACAACUAAAAUGAGUUAUUAAAAACAGCAACUUUAAUUCUCGCAAGUGCACAAACCGUUUAUAGUAUAGCUUAUGUAAAUACGAGGUCGAUCCCAUGGAGAAUGGUAACUUGGUUCCAAGUUAAAUUACUUAGAAUGCUAGAAAACCAAAGAACAAAGAAACUGACUAACUAGCUAAAGGCAAGGUCGAAUUCAACAAUGCCUCUUGCUAAUUACUCAAGGUCUAGGACAGAAUCCUAGCACCACACACGCACUCGAAAUGGGGGGUUUUGUUGUUGAAAUGAAAACAAGAAAGUGAAAUAAAAGUGCUCGAAAGUAAACACUGGCAGCAAUCAACAAGUUGUGAAACAAUGAUUGAGAGGUGUUAGAGCCUUGGAAUCCACCACUAGUUUUCCUAUCCAAGUUAUGAAUGCAUAGAAAUUGACUCAAGCUUCAUUAACAGUAGAUUAUCGCAUACAAGCCUAUGGUAUCUAGGUGCAGGAUGCAUGAUUCUCCUAAGGCAUGUGAUUAUGCAUGGUAUCUACACAACGCGUGAUCUCUAAUAUGCAACCUAAGCAUGGUAUCUACUUAGAAUAAAGCAUACAAGAGUCAUUAAGCUCCUUGAGAGUAUGAUAAUCACACAAAUCCUAGAACAUGGUAUCUGUCCUAGUCAACCUAUGGUUAUUAACCCCUUGAAUGAUUCUUAGGCCAUUCAUGUGUUGCUUGUGAAAGGAGAGUAGAAUUGGUGAAUCUAAACCUCUUCCCAACCUGUGCUAGAUGCAUAAAAUCCUAGUUAGCUACUCCAAGAAAACAUACAUCAAGCACAUAAUAAACUGGAGAUUAACAACUUGAUCAUAAAAGCAAGGAAAUCAAUUAACUAUAAAAUCAUCCAUAACAUUGAAUAUUCAUGACUAGGGCUUCAUCCUAAGCCCUAACUAAAUGGAUUAGUUAGACAUAACUAUGAAUACAUAAAAUAAGAAAUACAUAGAUAGGAUAAAGAGAGGAGAAGAACUAGAUGAUGGCAGCAAGGAAGUUCCUAGGACAGCUCCAAGCUCCCUUGACAGCUCCAAGCUCCCUUCUCUCUUUGUGGUGAAUCUGAAUGUGUGUAUGAGAGUAAUGGAUGAAGUGAAUGUGUGUGUCUGCCCUCCCUUGAAUGAGUGUGAAACUCUUUAUUUAUAGAGUGCAAUUUCGUGCUCCCCUUUGGCUGGUGAAGCACACCUCUCUUAGCUGCUCCCAACUGCUCCAGCUGCCCAUACUUGCCAACUGCUCCAGCUGACAAAUACAUGCUUUGGUAUGGUUUCUUUAUGGAAAGCUUGACUUUUGUUCAUAUUUCUGAGCUUCUGAGCUGAUUUGACUCCCAUGUAUGGCUGCCCAUGUGUAGCACAUGGCUCUAGGGAUGUAGCCACAUUAAAUGUGAUGGCAGCCAACAUGACAUUUCUGUGAACUUGGUUCAGUCUUUGACGUGUUGAGGGCUCCAGAUUUAUCCAAUUGGGCUGAGAUUUGGAUAUGUUAUAAUAGACACCCAUUGGAACAACGUCUAUGAAGGAUGUCUCCUCAUCCGACCUGUGUAAGUUACUGAAAUGAGGCCUGCAAGAUGACCUACGAAACUGGAGUGACAAGGAGUGUGGCACAAAUUGGUUUUGUCUUUAAGCUCAUAUUCCUCUUGUGCCACUCAGCCCUUAACACGCAUGAAUUGUAUCAAAUGUCAUCCCCAUGCGGUCUUAACCUACAAAGCACACAAACAUAGGUAAGAGACUCAAAAUAAAGAGAAGCUAAGAAAAAUUACUAAGGAAAGAAGGCUUGCAAAUGUGUGAAAUUAUGAGCUUAUCAUACAAUCCCUUGAACUAUACAGUACACCAACCACUCCAUUUCAGAACGAACUUCGUAUGAACCUGAAUUGUCAAAUUUCGUGGACUGAUCGACAUCGGAUUGAGUCCAAAACUUGGGGAACAUCAUAAUAUUGUGGGAGGAGUCAUUUGGUGGACUUUGAGUGAAAUCCAAUCUCUAGAACUAUACAAUACACCAACCACCCCACUUCAGAAUGAACUUCGUACGAACCUCAAUUGUCCGAUUUCAACGACCAAUCGAUAUCGGAUUGAGUCUAAAACUUGGGGAACAUAAUAAUAUUGUGGGAGGAGUCAUUUGGUGGGUUUUGAGUGAAAUCCAAUCUCUAGAACUAUACAAUACACCAACCACCCCAUUUCAAAACGAACUUCGUACGAACCUGAAUUGUUCGAUUUCAAGGACCAAUCGAUAUCGGAUUGAGUCCAAAACUUGGGGACUGCAAACUUCAACACACUUAGACUAUUUACAAGCGUGAUUUCUCUAAAGGUGUUUCAGAGAGAAUCUUUAAAACUGAAGAAAAUAAAAUGCAGCUGAUAAAAAUCAGUUCUGCUUACAACUGAGGCCGAAACCUGAAUUUGUAGACAACUUUCAACUAUGGUUUACAAAACCAACUAUGGUUGGACAGCUGUAGAGGCACGGGUUGUUCAACCUGAUUCAACUUUUAGCAAUUGUAGAGGUAACUUUUGACUUCUUCAUAUGCAUUAGUCUGAAUGUUGAGUUAAGUUGCUGCAUAGUCAUAUUCAUCUUCUUUCUCGCUAUCUCUCUGUGUUCCUUGUUUUGGUAUCAGAGCCGUAAGAGUUACGGUCUUUGUCUAAGUCUGCUACUCAUUCCCGCCCAAGUGGCUGGUUUAAGCAUCUGAGUAGAAGGUUUCAUCUUCUUCCUUUUCUUUUCUUUUAUUCUCCAAGUUGUCUGUUCAUCUUUCUCUAAGGUCUGACCCGUGAGUCCUUUUUGCUAGAUCUGUAAGUCCCGAGGGUAGGGCGUUUGUGCUGGGCAGGAGACAGAAAAUUGAGAAAGGUUAAUAGGUUAUUUGUAGAGUAAACGGUGAGUCUAGGAAGUCCCUGUUUAUCUUCUUCCUCAGUCUGCAAGAGUCAAACACUUGAGUAGCCAUGAGUCGUUUUCUUAGGUCGAAUUCCUGUAAGUCAAGCAGUUCUAAAACCAGUAUAAGUCGACUCCCAGAGAUAGUUAAUGAAGAACAAUUUGAAUAUGAUUCUAGUUGCAAAGAACAAUUAGACUUUAGAGAUUGGAAUAUACCUAAAGUCCCGAGUCAAAAAAUCUAUAAGAAACAUUGGUUGCCUUCUAGUUUUAAUAGUACCACACAUGUCAAAACAGUUGAACAAGUUUACGCUCUUAGUAAAGAACACGAAACUUGCCAGUUGCUUAAUCUUGAGUCAAUUAAAAAGCACAAGACUGAUGGAAACAAUUUCCUUCAUAUUGGUCUUGUUCAAGUUGCCGUUAAGCCCCUAACCAGGUUAGGAUUAAAAGCCUCCAUUCUGCUCUGUUUACGCGAUGCCCGGUUCACCGCGUUCAGUGACAGUACAUUAGGAGUUAUUGAGUCCAGUUUGUGUAACGGUCCAGUUCAUUUUGACUGUUACCCAGACUUUACUGUAAGCCUUAGUGAUCCGCAUAUAUUGAGAACCCUAACUCUCAAUAUUAAGACUGAAGGUUAUAAUGUCCUCCCAGGAACCCAACCUUUAGCCUUAGUUUAUAGAAUUUAUUAUAAGGUCACAGGAACAAAUAUGAACUUCCAGGCCUUAAACAAAAGCCCAAAGGAUCAGACAGUCCUGAUCCCGAGUCAUACCUCAGACGCCCAUAUACAAGUUCCCCAGACCAUUAAAUGGUCAGAAGUUGCCCUUCCAACAGAUUGGACCCUAGUUACCGAGAGCCAACCAGCUCCGAUCCAACGUAGUCUAAACAAUUUAGACUACAUCCAACAAUAUUUAGAUGGCACGGUUAAGAUUAGAUUUGAUAACCAGCCUCUAAGAAAGUCUAAUGUCCAGUUACACCAGUUGCCAACUCCUGGUCAGUCUCAAAGGCAUGCCCCUGCUCGGCAUUCCUUUACUGCCCCUUCCUCCACUCUAGAACGAGACCUAGAGUUAGAAAAAACAAUGAUAGAUUUGAAACUUGAGUCCCUGAGAAGAUCCUCUCAGGUAACCCAGCCCUGCUAUGGCAAGGCUCCAGUUGAACAAAAGUCAGAAUCCCCUGAGUCACCUACCCAGUCUGACUUUGUAGUUGAAAACUAUGCCACAGUUGAUAACCAGUUGCGAACCCUUAAUAGAAAAUUUAAAAUUGAUUGGUCACGUCUAAACAAACAUCUCAAAGCCCCUGAGAAUCAAUCUAGACGAGACAGUUACCAUCAAGCCUAUCCAGAAGCCCAACGCCGCCUAAAAAUCUUUAGUGAAUGGAAAGAUUAUAUGCGGUCUGCCCAAGUUGAAAUUUUCUACCUUGAUUUUGUUGAAAGCCGUUAUAUGUCCAGUGAUGAGUUGAAAACUUUGACUAAGGAAAAAUGGAAAAUGUCAGAUAAGUCUGUCGUUGAAUCCAGUCAUCCUCCAGUCGAAACCAUAAUUAUUGAGCAUAAGAAUGCGUCUAUUCCUGCCACUCCUUUCAAAACCUUUGAAAGUACUGACAGUAAUAGAAAGAUUCUUGAGCAAAAUAAUUAUACCAACCAGAGUCUAAUCGUUAUAGGAAAACAGUUGGACACAAUUGAAACUAAAAUUGAUAAGUUAGGUUCUACAGACGUAGAGUCUAAAAAGAAAGUUGAAAAACCAAUUGUCCAGUUCCAGGAUCUUAGGUUAAGCCCGACUCUUAAGAUCACACCAACCAUGAAGAAAAUCGAAGAUAUGUUAGCCCAGUUGACCCCUGCAAAAAUUGAAAAAACUGAGAAAUCUGGUCUUAAAACACUAGAUGCUUUUGCAGAAGAAAACACUUCUGAGUCUGAGUCGUCAGAAACAAGUAACAUUUCUAAAAUUGAAAAAGCCUUUCAAACUUUAGAAAUCCAAGUUGAACCCAAAGUUAAGAAAUUAGAAAAGUUUGUCAGCCCCAGUAGUCUGACCAAAAAUUGGUAUCCCAGACCAACACCUCCAGACAUUCAAUUUGAAGAAAGAAACUUGCAAACCCAGUUUUCUGUUUCUUCCGACAAAUUAUAUGAAUGGAAUAUUGAUGGUCUUUCUGAGCAGGAAAUCCUGAAUAAGUUACAACAUAUGUCUAUGGUUGCCAAUAGUUAUAUCACCAAUCACAAUUUCAGACAGUCUGAAAUUGUCCCUCUAUUAGUUACUGGUUUCACCGGUACUCUCAGAAGUUGGUGGGAUAAACAUCUGAGUCCUGAGUCUAAAAGCCGAAUAACUUUUGCUGUAAAACUUAAUGAUGACGGUCUCCCUAUAUUUGACGAACGUUUAGGUCAAGGUAUAGAAGACGGUGUCAACACUCUAUUUUACACCAUAAUUGACCAUUUCAUAGGAACCCCUAGUAAUCAAACUGCUAGGAUCCAUGAUCAGUUGAGUAAUCUUAGAUGCCCAAAAUUGUCUGAUUUCAGAUGGUACAAGGAUGUCUUCAUCUCUAGGGUAAUGCUUAGAGACGAUAGUAAUCAGCCAUUCUGGAAAGAAAAGUUUGUCAACGGUCUGCCAAACCUAUUUGCCCAUAAGAUCCGAACUACCCUCAGUAAUGAAUUAGGUCAUAUUGAUUGGGAUAGUUUAACUUAUGGUAAUAUUAUAAGCACAAUUAAUCAAGUUGGUAUGAAAAUGUGUGUUGAUUACAAAAUCGAAAAACAAAUACAGUCCGAUAGGAAAUCAGCCAAAUAUGAGUUAGGAAACUUCUGUGAACAAUACGGUCUCAGUAGUAUUCCGCCCUCCAGAAGAAAUAAGUCUAAGCCUAGUCACCUUAGGAAACGCCGGUUUUCCUCUAAAAGAAAACAUUUUGCCGUUAAAAGUGAUAAUGAGUUUUAUAAGAAAAGAAAAAGUUUUAAAAGAAAAAAUUGGUCUAAAGCCCCAAGAAAAGCCCAGAAAAGUCGACCCAAAACUGAUAAGUCCAAAGUUAAAUGUUUUAAAUGCCAAAAAUUCGGUCAUUAUGCCUCUGAGUGUAAAGUGAAAGAUGCUAUUAAACAGUUGCAGAUUUCAGAAGCAGAAAAAGAAAAGUUGAUCCAAGUUUUAGAGUUGCGAGACUCCGAAACUAGUAGCCCUGAAACCUUAGUUGCCAGUUCUGGGUAUGAUUCUGAACAAGCUUCAGAUUCCCAGCCGAGUUCCCCUGAUAUUCAAUUUGGUUGCACUGAUAAGUGUUGUAAUAGUUUAAAAUCCAUUUUUGUUCUUACUAAAUAGGAAGAACAAGAAGAGUUGUUAAUUGAUUUAAUCAGCCGAGUAGAAAACCCUGAGUUAAAGUCCGAUUACUUGAGAAAAUUGCGAAAAGUCAUCAGUCAAGAGAAUUCUAGUAGUCCUAAACCGCAACCAGUCAGUUUAGCCACUACUAUAGAAAAGUUUGCCCAGAGAAAGAAAGUUGUUACCUUACAAGACCUCCAGUUAGAAGUUAAAAUAAUCAAACAAGAAUUAGCCGAGUUAAGACAAAUCAGUAACCAGUUGCAGGUUGAGAACCAUACAAUCAGGCAAGACCUAACAAGUCUUGGAAAAGGCAAAAUGCCUUUAGAGCCUAAUAGCCAGUCAGACAGCCCUGCUGGUUCUGACGAAGAAACCCCAGUUGUCAACUUAAUCAAACAAGUCAAUUUCUGAAAAUGGUAUUCGAAAGUUACAAUAGUUGUCAAAGAUUUUGAAUUUACCACAGUUGCCUUAUUUGAUUCAGGAGCUGACCUUAACUGCAUCUAGGAAGGUCUAAUCCCUACUAAGUAUUACCAGAAGUCUAGAGAAACCCUAAGCACUGCUUCAGGAAAAUCUCUCCAGUUGAAUUAUAAGUUACCUAAAGCCCAUAUUUGCCAAAACAAAGUCUGUUUUAAAACUUCGUUUGUUUUAGUUAAAAAUAUUACUGAUGAGGUUAUCUUAGGAUUACCUUUUAUAAGUCUGCUUUAUCCCUUCCAGGUAGAAUACGAUGGUGUUAUCUCUACCCAGUUAGGUAAAAAGGUUAAGUUCAGUUUCCUUUCCAAACCAGAGUUGCAUAAUCUAAAAGCCUUACAAAAACAGUCAGUUUCUAAGUCGCUUCUAGUUAUUAGAAAGACUAACCAGUUGAAUUUUCUUAAAGAAGAAAUUAAGUUUAAGAGAGUUGAACAACAACUUGCCAGUCAGUCCUUACAGUUGCAAAUUCAAAAAUUUGAACAAAGAUUAAAAGAAGAAAUCUGUUCUGAGUUGCCCACAGCCUUUUGGUAUAGGAAACAGCAUGUCGUCCGUCUUCCUUAUAUCAAAACCUUUAGUGAGAAAAAUAUCCCCACUAAAGCCAGGUCAAUCCAAAUGAGUCAAGAAAUGAUGGAGUUCUGUAAAAAAGAAAUUGAUGAGUUGCUUCAAAAGAAAAUAAUUCGUAAAAGUAAGUCUCCUUGGUCGUGUCCUGCUUUUUAUGUUCAGAAAAAUGCUGAAUUAGAGAGAGGAGUCCCAAGAUUAGUUAUCAAUUACAAGCCUCUUAAUGCGGUCCUAGAAUGGAUUAGGUAUCCCAUACCUAAUAAAAGAGAUCUCAUUAAUCGGUUAGAAAAAGCAGUUGUUUAUUCAAAAUUCGAUAUGAAAAGUGGUUUCGGGCAAAUCCAAAUAGAUGAGUCAGAUAGAUAUAAGACUGCAUUUGUCACUCCCUUUGGUCAUUAUGAAUGGAAUGUAAUGCCCUUUGGUUUGAAAAAUGCUCCUAGUGAAUUCCAGAAUAUCAUGAAUGAUAUAUUCAAUCCUUACAGUCAGUUUUCGAUUGUUUAUAUUGAUGAUGUUCUGAUCUUUUCUGAGUCAAUAGAACAACAUUGGAAACAUUUGAAUAAGUUCCUUCAAGUUGUCAAACAAAAUGGUUUAGUCGUUUCUGUCAAAAAGAUCAAGUUAUUUCAAACCAAUAUACGUUUCCUUGGUUUCAAUAUUUGUCAGUCGCAAAUAUCUCCAAUUGAUCGAGUCAUUCAAUUUGCUGAUAAGUUCCCUGAUCAAAUUCUUGAUAAAAGUCAACUCCAGAGGUUUUUAGGAUCUCUAAAUUAUAUCUCUGACUUUUAUCAGAAUCUGAGAAAACUAUGUAAGCCAUUAUUUGAUAGGUUGCAGAGUAACCCUCCUCCUUGGUCGUCUACUCACACAGAAAUUGUCAAACAGAUCAAGUCCCAUGUCAAGACACUUCCCUGUCUUGGUAUUCCUUCAGUUGAUUCCUUCAAAAUAGUUGAAACUGAUGCCUCUGACAUUGGUUAUGGUGGCAUUCUUAAGCAAAAACUCAGUCCAAGUUCUCCAGAACAAAUUGUUCGAUUCCAUUCUGGAACCUGGACUCAGUCGCAGCUUAAUUAUAGUACUAUUAAAAAAGAAAUAUUAGCUAUUGUAUUAUGCAUUAGUAAAUUUCAAGAUGAUUUGCUUAAUCAAAAGUUUUUAAUCCGAGUUGAUUGCAAGUCUGCAAAACAUGUUUUAGAAAAAGAUGUUCAAAACAUUGCAUCUAAACAGAUUUUCGCACGAUGGCAAAGUAUUUUAAGCAUAUUUGAUUUUGAAAUUGAAUAUUUGAAAGGCAGUGAGAAUUCUGUUCCUGAUUUUCUCACUAGAGAAUUCUUGCAGGAUGCACAAUGUCUCCCAAGAAAGACAAACAAAAAGCAGUAGCCAGUCAACCUAAGUCGCCUAAGUCAACCCAGUCAUCCCAGUCGCUCAGAGUCCUCCCUUCCUCCAUGAGUCAACCUAAGCCAGAGUUGCCCAAGCAAAUAGUGCCUUAUCCUGGUCACCCCCCAUUACCAGUUGCCACUCCAAUUUCAGUUGCAAACAGAUUUUCCUCUUUAGGAUCAACAGUUGGCCAAAUUCGCCCCAGUUAUCAAUCUACCCUAAUUUCUAGUUAUGACCCCUUUGCAGUCGAUAUCCCUGCAGGGCCAUCAGUUGUCUACAAAAAAUCGUCUCCCUAUUUGCCUAAAAGUAAUUCUCAUUUAUUUGUCAUCGAGUCUCUGUAUGAUAUCCAUGCAAACCCAGUUGAAAUUGCCAAACACUAUUUCCCUCCUGGAUUUCAUUAUAUGCCCCAGAGUCCGUAUAAGUCCCUCAAGUAUUAUAGAGAUAUAUUACUUGAGACACAGUCAGUUGAAAUUAAGCCGAUAAAGGAUCGGGAUCAUCCUGAAACCAUUCUUUAUCAUUCUUUGUAUAUUCAUAAAAUUGUAAGUCAAGAAUCUUUCAGUAGCCGCCCCUAUGAGUUGAAAGUUCUUAAGUCAAAAUUACAAUAUAAUUAUUCUGAUUAUAUUGAAGCCUGGUAUACUAUUUUCCUUCAUCAAUCUGAAGAUUUUAGUCAUUCCUGGUUUAUUAAUUUUGAUAAUAAGUUCAAAAGCCCUUUCCCCUACUGGUUCCUUCACUGGUGGGAAAAAUAUGGUCCAGUUGACGAAAUUCUACCAGUAGCAGUCCUUGAGUUGAUCCGCCAUUAUACCAAAAGAGCCAAGUUCUCCCUAGUUGAUUUAUUUUUCCCAAAACAGUUACUGUUUAUUGCCAGAUACAAAGUGCCUUGGAUCCUCAAAUGGUCUUACGCCAUUACCAAGGAUGUCCGAGUAUUUGCUCGCCAAUUCUCAGUCAAAUGGUGGGACAAGUUUGAAGUUGACAGAAUUGCCAAGUACGUUUACAAUGACUUCCCCCGGGAGCCAGUUCCUCGCCCAGUAUCUCCUACAGGCUCAGUCAGAUCAUCCUUAUCAGUUGAAGGAAAGUCUAAAGCUGAGCUCCAGGAAAUUGCACGCCAGCUGAUCAUCCAGGCCUCUCAAAUGGAUGAUGAUGAGGACAAUGAUUCUCCCUCAUCGUCUAGUUGCCAGCCCAUGCAGAGCCCUGCCAAGACAAAGUCAUGGUAUGAUGACAGCCAGGACCCCUAUGAUGCCUACGAUCUAGGGGAAUCCUCUCCAUAAUUGCCUCAGUUGCCGACAAGCAAGUCUCGUCAAAAGAAGUUGCCAAUUUGUCAAAAGUAGUUGCCGACAGACCACUCUGUCAAAAGAAGAUGCCAAAUCACGUGAAAGCAGCAGACAAAGCAUCUCUGCUUUUACUUUAAUCAGAUCACCAAAAAGUAGCAGACAAAGCACUGUUCACUUUUUGACAAUUCACCGAAAGUAGCCGAGAGCAUCUGGAGGAGUCAUUUGGUGGGUUUUGAGUGAAAUACAAUCCCUAGACCUAUACAAUACACCAACCACCCCAUUUCAGAACGAACUUCGUACGAACCUGAAUUAUCCGAUUUCAAGGACCAAUCGAUAUCGGAUUGAGUCCAAAACUUGGGGAACAACAUAAUAUUGUGGGAGGAGUCAUUUGGUGGGUUUUGAGUGAAAUACAAUCCCC